RNAcentral lists this ribosomal RNA (253 nucleotides) under uncultured bacterium. RNAcentral describes it as "partial 16S ribosomal RNA". It matches the Rfam family "Bacterial small subunit ribosomal RNA", at positions 524 to 776 of the family's 1533-position model. The record is from RNAcentral.
UACGUAGGGACCGAGCGUUGUCCGGAAUCAUUGGGCGUAAAGAGCGUGUAGGCGGCCACUUAAGUCCUGCGUGAAAUCUUGCGGCUCAACCGCAAGCGGUCGUGGGAAACUGGGUGGCUAGAGUGCGGGAGAGGAGAGUGGAAUUCCUGGUGUAGCGGUGGAAUGCGCAGAUAUCAGGAAGAACACGCGUGGCGAAGGCGGCUCUCUGGAACGCAACUGACGCUGAGACGCGAAAGCGUGGGGAGCAAACAGG